RNAcentral lists this long non-coding RNA (1684 nucleotides) under Volvox carteri. RNAcentral's name for it is "long non-coding RNA (VCAR_LNC003236)". Lineage: Eukaryota; Viridiplantae; Chlorophyta; Chlorophyceae; Chlamydomonadales; Volvocaceae. The record is from RNAcentral.
CUACCCAUACGAGCCGAAGGCCCAAGGGCAAUAUCUACACGCCUAACAGCCACGGAGAACAGGAAGCACCGCACUAUCAGUCUAGACAAGCGCCCAAAGGGGAUAACUGAAUUGCGGUGAGCCCACAUACGUUCCAACAUAUUCGCCAGACGUACCGGCUCCCAUUUCAUGGCCUCCAACAUGCUCUGUUGAUUAUUGAAUCCCUCUUCAGCACGAAUAUCAUAAUAGGCUGGGCAUUCCAAUAACACGUGUUUUUUGGGCGGGGCCCCAGCGCGAAGCGCCCAGGGGCCCCCGCCCUGUAGGAUUGCACAUGUCCGUGUGGCCGUGUGUACAGGGUGUUUCCACUUGGCCGCACUCGAACAUUAAGUUCAAAAAUUCAUCUGUUACAGAAUGCGCACAUUCUUCCUAUACAAAAAGCUCAACCUCAGUUGACAAAGUUUUCCACUUGGUAACCACCAAAUAUCAAAUUGCAAAUCUUGGAUUAGUCUAGGAUCGAUCCAUUGCAAAUAGAUCAUAUGCGCUGGNNNNNNNNNNNNNNNNNNNNNNNNNNNNNNNNNNNNNNNNNNNNNNNNNNCCUCCGGCUCCUUGUAUCCGAGCGCCGCGUCCAGCCAGGGCGCGUCCAUCGCAGGCCGCGCCCAUCUCGUUGAGUCCGUCUGCAGAGCACUUCCAUGACCGCCAGCCCAGCGCCUAUGAUCUAUCUGCAAUGGAACGAUUUUAGACUAUUCGUUCUGGGGCUCCUGGAGGCCCAUAGAACACGGACCGGCGCAUUAUGCGCGCCCUUCUAGUCGACCACGCAAUGCCUUCCAUGUGCUGUAUUCCACAACAAUCCUAUGCGUUUCGGUGCUUUUGGACGGGUACGAAGCGAAAAGUCCUGUCAUCAACAUCGGCAAGGUCGUGAAGCGCGCGCGUGAAGCCCUUCGCUAAUACUGGAUUCACAUGCUACGUUACGUUGCGAAAACUUUUAGGUAAAAGUGGCCCUGAGAAAGUCACCCAGUUCACACGGGACAUUACGACGACGUUGUAUUCGUUGGCGCGAGCUGUGUAAAACCAUCUCCAUUUUAUGUCUUUCAAUGGCCAAAACUUCAGAACAUCCCCUUAGAAUUGCAAUAUAUAUUAAAGGCAGGGUAAGUGGUUAUGGGCCCCCGCCUGCUACUUCCGUAUUAUUUUUUAAUAGUUUGCUUUAUAGCCAGUUCACAUGCUACGUUACGUUGAAACUUUUUGGAAAAAGUGGUCGGUUCGGACGUGGUAACGGUACGUUACCGGUAAAGUGGACGAAAAGUCUAAAGUGACCAGGGGGGGGGGGUUCAAUUUCGUCAAACGCUGACCCCUCGUACCGUUACUUGAAAUGCGUCGCCAAUUUCGCGAGUUAUAACAAACGGCCAAGCCCAAUCGCUUAUAAAGACCACAUACUUGACAAAUUGUGCGCGCUUUGCACUCCGACUGAAUUUCUAGUCACACCGCUGCCUUAUAUUAUAAAAAUGAACAAGGACAACGCCGCUCGUGUUGCUCGCCCGCGCACGACCCCUUACAUAGCCAAUAUGUAACCCAUUGUAGUAUCAGGGCUGAAGCCAUCCGCGAAAUGGCAAGUCGGCCGCACUUCCGGCGGCAUGGGCCGCGCCGCGUCGGCCCACACGCGCAAGCACUGCCAUUGAGAAUUGAACAUAUCCUCAAGGUUGUCAAAAAU